RNAcentral lists this unclassified non-coding RNA (333 nucleotides) under uncultured Glomeraceae. RNAcentral describes it as "sequence contains 18S rRNA gene". Lineage: Eukaryota; Fungi; Glomeromycota; Glomeromycetes; Glomerales; Glomeraceae. The record is from RNAcentral.
CCCAACUAUCCCUAUUAAUCAUUACGUCGAUCCUAGAAACCAACAAAAUAGAAUCAAACGUCCUAUUUCAUUAUUCCAUGCUAAUGUAUUCAAGCGUGCGCUUGCUUUAAACACUCUAAUUUUUUCAAAGUAACAGUCCUGAUUUCCCACGACACCAAAUUAAUGACAUCGCGGUUCUUCAGAAGGGAGGAACCAAUAAUACCAGUGCGUACCGAGGCACGACCGACAAUUUGAUCCCGAAAUUCAACUACGAGCUUUUUAACUGCAACAACUUUAAUAUACGCUAUUGGAGCUGGAAUUACCGCGGCUGCUGGCACCAGACUUGCCCUCCAA